GCAGUAAACAACAACAAAAAAAAAAAAUACUUGAGAACUCUCACAUCAUCACCUGACUACAAUUCCACAAAUCGAGUUCUUAGCAGUAUCUUGAUCAACAGCACUCAACAAAGUCUACAACAACAUCAUGACAACCCGGGUCAAACGACGUUCUUAAACCUUAAGAGCGCUCCAGGUGAACGAAGCACCAAGAAUGUUUCUUCAGACAUGGGAGCCACGUCUCUGGACUCUCCUUGGUGCACCUGACUGAUAAACAAAGCACCAUACCUCGCCCAUCUCUUACGGCCAUGUCUUUCUUGUUUACUCUAUGACAGGCAC
RNAcentral lists this long non-coding RNA (318 nucleotides) under Setaria italica (foxtail millet). RNAcentral describes it as "long non-coding RNA (SITA_LNC000965)". Lineage: Eukaryota; Viridiplantae; Streptophyta; Magnoliopsida; Poales; Poaceae. The record is from RNAcentral.